ACGGUCGAAAGUAGUUUAUGAAUUAGCUACCAAUAAUACAUACCUCAAAUUUUUAACUCUUGAGAAUAUGUGUCAUCAUCUUGUUAAUUCAUUGGAUGAUUCGUGGACACAUAUACUACAUGAAUGGUAAUUAACUAUCCCAAAUAAUUAAGUCAAAUACGAAAUUAUAUCCUAAAAAGAAUUAAUGUGUCAGCUCGAUUGGCUUCUAAGGUA
RNAcentral lists this long non-coding RNA (213 nucleotides) under Elaeis guineensis (African oil palm). RNAcentral's name for it is "long non-coding RNA (EGUI_LNC035639)". Lineage: Eukaryota; Viridiplantae; Streptophyta; Magnoliopsida; Arecales; Arecaceae. The record is from RNAcentral.